Molecule: unclassified non-coding RNA, 345 nt
Filed under: soil metagenome
Description: partial contains 5.8S ribosomal RNA, internal transcribed spacer 2, and large subunit ribosomal RNA
Rfam family: 5.8S ribosomal RNA (bases 1-120)
Source: RNAcentral
GAUGAAGAACGCAGCGAAAUGCGAUAAGUAAUGUGAAUUGCAGAAUUCAGUGAAUCAUCGAAUCUUUGAACGCACAUUGCGCCCUCUGGUAUUCCGGGGGGCAUGCCUGUCCGAGCGUCAUUGCUGCCCUCAAGCACGGCUUGUGUGUUGGGCCCCGCCCCCCGAUCCCGGGGGGCGGGCCCGAAAGGCAGCGGCGGCACCGCGUCCGGUCCUCGAGCGUAUGGGGCUUUGUCACCCGCUCUGUAGGCCCGGCCGGCGCCUGCCGAUCAACCAAACUUUUUUCCAGGUUGACCUCGGAUCAGGUAGGGAUACCCGCUGAACUUAAGCAUAUCAAUAAGCGGAGGA